Molecule: unclassified non-coding RNA, 697 nt
Filed under: Hevea brasiliensis (rubber tree)
Lineage: Eukaryota; Viridiplantae; Streptophyta; Magnoliopsida; Malpighiales; Euphorbiaceae
Source: RNAcentral
AUGGCUUCAGUGCCUUGAGGUACUACUGUUCUUUUGAUUCAAUUUUUGUGUUAUGUUACAUUAUGGGUGUAAUCAAUUCUCACUUCUUUGUUGAAUUUGUUUUUUUAGGUGUUAAAUUAUAUAUGGGUUUGAUCUGGUUUGGUUAAUUGUUUCUAGUUAAAUAAGGGUUUUUGGUGAAGUUUUCAAGAUUCUUGUUUGAAAGAGUAAAAUUUUGUUCAUAUGGUCAUCAAUUUGUAGUGUGUGUUAAGCCAUUGUAAUUGAUCCAUGUUCAGUCACAAUACAUUUAGGUCAUGUUUGGCAUGUAAUCAAAGAUGUAAUGUAUUACAUUGCAUAGCAUAGUAUGUAAUUGCAUACAAAAAUGGAUUAUUUGUUUUUGUUUGGAUUUUUUUAUUUAUUAUCGAUACAACCACCGUUACCCGGCCUUCUACUAUCAACACUACCCCACCAUUACCACCACCGUCACCAUCCUAUUGCUACCAUCCCUGCCACUACCACCACCAUCACCUCACCACUACUAUCACUAUUUAGCCACUGUCAUCUCUAUCCCACCUGGUCACUACCACCACUAUUACCUCACCUUGCCACCACCACCAUUUAAUCACUGUUGUCACAACCGUCACUACUUAGCCACCACUACUAAUUAUUACAACCACUAUCACUUAUCAUUAAUGCUAUAAAUAAAAAAAAAUUAAAAUAA